GAUGAACGCUGGCGGCGUGCCUAAUACAUGCAAGUCGAGCGAACGGACGAGAAGCUUGCUUCUCUGAUGUUAGCGGCGGACGGGUGAGUAACACGUGGAUAACCUACCUAUAAGACUGGGAUAACUUCGGGAAACCGGAGCUAAUACCGGAUGAUAUUUUGAACCGCAUGGUUCAAAAGUGAAGGACGGUCUUGCUGUCACUUAUAGAUGGAUCCGCGCUGCAUUAGCUAGUUGGUAAGGUAACGGCUUACCAAGGCAACGAUGCAUAGCCGACCUGAGAGGGGGGUAGGGCAAACUGGGACUGAGACACGGGCCCGGCGCCCAACGGAGGGACGAGUAGGGAAUUUUUCGGAAAGGGCGGAAGGCCUACGGAGCAAAGGCGCGGGGAGUAAGAAAGUCUUCGGAACGUUAAAAUCCUGUAAUAGGGAAAAACAAAUUGGUAAGGAACUGGGCAAAACUUGACGGGACCUUAUCAGAAAGCCACGGCUAACCACGUG
This 497-nucleotide ribosomal RNA is filed under the name uncultured bacterium. Its description in RNAcentral is "partial 16S ribosomal RNA". It matches the Rfam family "Bacterial small subunit ribosomal RNA", at positions 28 to 507 of the family's 1533-position model. The record is from RNAcentral.